UUGCAUGUCUAGCAUGCGAGUCAUUGUAGCAUACAAGGCAUACGGCUCAGUAACGCGUAGUCAACCUAACCUAUGGACGGGAAUAACCUCGGGAAACUGAGAAUAAUGCCCGAUAGAACACUAUACCUGGAAUGGUUUGUGUUCCAAAUGAUUUAUCGCCAUAGGAUGGGACUGCGGCCUAUCAGUUUGUUGGUGAGGUAAUGGCCCACCAAGACUAUUACAGGUACGGGCUCUGAGAGGAGUAGCCCGGAGGUGGGUACUGAGACACGGACCCAGGCCCUAUGGGGCGCAGCAGGCGAGAAAACUUUGCAAUGUGCGAAAGCACGACAAGGUUAAUCCGAGUGAUUUGUGCUAAACGAAUCUUUUGUUAGUCCUAGAAACACUAACGAAUAAGGGGUGGGCAAGUUCUGGUGUCAGCCGCCGCGGUAAAACCAGCACCUCAAGUGGUCAGGAUGAUUAUUGGGCCUAAAGCAUCCGUAGCCGGCUCUGUAAGUUUUCGGUUAAAUCUGUACGCUUAACGUACAGGCUGCCGGGAAUACUGCAGAGCUAGGGAGUGGGAGAGGUAGACGGUACUCGGUAGGAAGUGGUAAAAUGCUUUGAUCUAUCGAUGACCACCUGUGGCGAAAGGCGGUCUACCAGAACACGUCCGACGGUGAGGGAUGAAGCUGGGGGAGCAACCCGGAUUAGAUACCCAGUAGUUCCAGCCUGUAAACCUAUGCCAACUUCAGUGAUGCAUUGGCUUUGUGGACCAUGCAGUUGCCUGGCCAGGGUAGU
Molecule: ribosomal RNA, 774 nt
Filed under: uncultured archaeon
Lineage: Archaea
Description: bacterial SSU rRNA
Rfam family: Archaeal small subunit ribosomal RNA
Source: RNAcentral